RNAcentral lists this ribosomal RNA (414 nucleotides) under Cryptoblepharus gloriosus mayottensis. RNAcentral's name for it is "partial 16S ribosomal RNA". It matches the Rfam family "Bacterial large subunit ribosomal RNA", at positions 1969 to 2589 of the family's 2925-position model. The record is from RNAcentral. Lineage: Eukaryota; Metazoa; Chordata; Lepidosauria; Squamata; Scincidae.
UUGUCUUUUAAAUAAAGACUAGUAUGAACGGCUAAAUGAGGACAGAUCUGUCUCUUACAAUUGACCAGUGAAACUGAUCUUCAAGUCCAAAAGCUUGAAUGAACACAUAAGACGAGAAGACCCUGUGGAGCUUCAAACCCACACUAUAAUUAACCAAAUAGCACCGGUUUUAAGUUGGGGCGACUUCGGAAUACAACCUAACUUCCGAGCACAGGGCCAUCACACCCUCACCAAGACCGACAGGUCAAAGAAAAAUCCGACCCAGUCACACUGACCAACGAACCAAGUUACCCCAGGGAUAACAGCGCUAUCUUCUUCAAGAGUCCCUAUCGACAAGAAGGUUUACGACCUCGAUGUUGGAUCAGGACACCCAAAUGGUGCAGCAACUAUUAAAGGUUCGUUUGUUCAACGAUU